GGGUUUCCUGUUUGUAGCUUUGGAGGUAAAGAGUCUUAGUAGAGGCCAGUCUGAAUCACUGACCUAAGAGGAGCCGCUCGCUCUCAAGAACUAACGUGAAGGGAGCCUCGCUCUGGGCCAACCCGGCCCUUCAGAAGAAGAACUUUUACAGCACGUUGGCUGUGGGCCAGGGACUCUCCUCAGCAGAGAUGAAGAUGACCGGGGCCCUCAGGGAACACUCUAUCUGGCAGUGGCAAUUAGACGUGCCCCAAAAGUAAUUAUGAAACCCGUGCUAAGCACUCGACGCACGGCACAGGGCUUCCCUGGAACGCAGAGGAAACAGCAGAGUCUGCAUCUGUGGUCUUCAUGGAGGAAGUCAGAUUUGAACUGGCUUUUGAGCGGCAGAGAGGUGUUUUCAUUUGUUGUCUUUUUCUUGCUUUUACAAGCUGGGAUGAGGGGAAGGGCAUUCCAAGCGGGGAAUAGCCCCAUGAGCAAAGGCCCAGAGUCUAGUGUCUUCAGUGAACUUCAGCCCCAUCCUGUGGCCUCCAGUUGUGUGAUACUAUCAGAUGGCCCCUUGCUGCUGGAGUGGAUGUUCUUGGCAAUGAAAAGAAGAAGUGGGGGCAAAGGUGAAGUAUGGGGCCUAGAUGCUUCUAGCAGUUUAGAUGAUGACUUCUCAGGAACUUGUUGUUAACUGCUCUGCACCCCCUGCGUUGAUUAGAUUCUGGUUCUCUGGGGCCAGUUUCUUCAUGCUGUCUGGAGCCCCAGCUUCGCACCUGGCUGACUCACCUUUUGCACUGAGUUCAGCACUGGAGAUGGAGAGGGGGUGGGGAGGAGAGGAGAAAUUUUAGUGCUGUAUGAAUUCAGUUGGAAAAAUAAUCAUACAGGAUUUAAGCAAAUCUCAUAUUGCCCCUGGAAUGGUUUUAGGUUUUUUUAUAAAACCCAACCAGCGUCAGCUGAUGCCCCAUCUCUUCAAGGUCAAACAUUCCAAGAUUCUAGAGCAAAGCUGUGUUCCCAGAUUUGUCUAGAAGCCCUUUCUCCCCCCUCACCUUAACUGACGCCUGGAUGGUCCCCAUGAGGGAUUUCUUUUGCAGCCUCUCCCAAGCCUCCCAUUUGGAGAGUGGGGCUGCCCAGUUCCUUCUCUCCUGGUGUCACUUUGAGAUUACUGCUCAGAGGAACUUAUUCUUUUCUCAAGAGACUGUUUUCUUUUAAAGUUCACAAUGUUCAUUUUUUUCUUUGUUUGCUGCAAGGAGAACUCUGAUUCUGACUGAAAUUCUGCCAAUUAGAAAGAUUGUUUUCCAAUCGUCUUGAAAUUUUUCAGAGUUGCUCAAAGUGUUGGGAAAAUUGGAUGCCAGAAUUUGUAGAUCCCUGGCCAACCAAGAGACAUGGGCAGAAGGUGACCUGGUCUUCAGAGCUCUCACAAGAUCUCUGAGAGAGACUGGUUCAUCUGAAUUGAUGCCUUUAGCCAUAGUUAAUUCAUUUUUGCUGCUGAAUAGUAUUCCGUUAUAUGACUAUGCCACACUUUUUUUACCAUCCCCUGCCUGUGUGCAUUUGGCUAUUUCCCAUUAUGCUAUUGAUAGUAAUGCUGCUGUAAAUAUUCUUGGCCAUGUUUCCUGGGCACGUGGACGAGAUUUUCUCCUGGGUCACAGUAUUUCCUUUUACCAUUUUCUCUAUAUUCUCAUCUUCUCUGCUAGGAUUCUCUCCUUCUUCAGUGAUGUCAUUUCUGGUUAUUGUCCUCAGAGACUCUGCUGCACACACCGAUGGUAUAAACGUAAACAAGCCACAGUGCCUUUCUUUGGUCCGCUCCAGGGUGGCGGAAUAACUGAUCACAGCAGUCACGUUGUGACCCACUUGAAACCCCAGCGCUGGAUUCUUGGAGCCUCUGUGGAAGAUGCCCUCUCAGAGCUCACCAGUGACCUCCCAAGGAUCAAGGCUGAAGGCUGUGUCAUUGUCCUUCCUCACCUGGCUGCACCCCUGCCGUCUGAAACUCCUUCUUUGGUUUGCACAGCAUGCCACUGCCCCGAUCGUCCUCCCGACCCGUUCCUCGUCUGCCUUAUACUUCUUGUCUGUGUACGUUCCUUAGGUUCUACCUCGGAGAAAUCAUCCAUUCCUUCCAUUUUAGCCAAGACACAACCAUCUAACCCAGGAAAUUAACAUUAGUACCAUUUAACUCUCAGACCCUGUUUGAAUUUUACUUAUUGUCUGAGUAACGUCUUUUACAGCAACAGGACCUAACCUAGGAUCAGUCAUGUCUCAGUCUCCUUCAGUCUGGAUUUGUUCCUCAGUCUUUCCUUGACUUCAUGAUCUUGAUGGUUUUGAAGACACAAGUCCAAUUAUUUUGUCAAAUGUCCCUCAGUUUUGGUUUACUGAUGUUUCCUCAUUAGAUUUAAGUUAUACAUCUUUGCUAGGAGUAUUCCAGAGGUGAUGCUGCUACAUCCUCAUUAGAUUUAAGUUAUACGUCUUUGCUAGGAGUAUUCCAGAAGUGAUGCUGCAUUCCUUUCAUUGCACUACUAAAAGGCGUAGGAUUCAAAUGUAUCCCAUUACUGAUGACAUUAAUUUUGAUCGCUGGAUUAAGAUUGUAUCUCUCAGCCUUUUCCACUGUGAAAUUACUUCUCUCCUCUUUGUAGGUAAUGAAGUAAUUAAUGAAUAUAUAUGGGAAGCUGCUUUGAGACUCUGUAAAUAUCCUGUUAAUCAUCAAACUUUCAAUUUACUCUUUAUUUAUGUCAGUAUGAACUCAUGAAUUGCUAUUUAUUCAAUGGAUUUUAAUCUAUUGUUAUUUAUUAUCAUCGUUUAUUUUGGUACUGAAUUGUCAAGCUGGCUUUAGAGUCCUUUUGACAUGUUCUGUCGUUCUUUGAAAACUGCCUUAUUUUCUGGCACAAAAAGUUGUUUCAGGCUCACCUUUUACUUUUUCUAUUCGGUCUUAGAAUUAGCCAUUUUUUUUUAAGGAAUGCGGUAUUCUUUUAGUGAAAAAUGGUAUUUAGAACCCAAAAUCUGGGUUCUUGAUGAGUUUACUGCUGUUGGGGUGUUAUUGCUCCCACCCUCUCUCAGAGGGAAGAGCUAGGGAAUACACACAUUUACAUCUCUAUUUCUCUCUAUAUUGAUAACUAUGAGUUCACAUUUAUAUCUCUAAUUCAAAUCCAUAGGGUUUACUCUAGUUUUCUCCCUUUCCAUUUUCGUAACUGUGAUGGUUAAUUUUAUGUGUCAGUCUGACUGGGCUACGGGGCCCCCAGAUACUUGGUUAAACAUUAUACCGGUGUGUCUGUGAGGGUGUUUCUGGAUGAGAUAAACAUUUGAAUUAAGUUUAGUAAAGCUGAUUGCCCUCCCCAGUGUGUGUGGGCCUCAUCCAACCCACUGAAGUCCUGAAUAGAACAAAAAGGCUGAGUAAGAACGAAUUCACUCUCUGCCUGACUGUCUUCGAGCUGGGACAUUGGUCUUCACCUGCCUUCGGACUUGGACUUGGACUUGGACUCAGGCUGACAGGUACACCAUUAGCUCUCCUAGUUCUCAGGCCUUUGGACUGGAGCUACACCAUUGGCUCUUCUGGGUCUCCAGUUUGCCAACAGCAGAUCUGGGGACUUCUCAGCCUCCAUAACCACCGUGUGGCACAUACUAGACACUCAGCAAGAUUUGCUGAAUGAAGUGGAAGGAGGCAAAGCUGGGAAACGGCAGAGGCAGGACUCGAAGUCAGGACUUCUUACUCCUAGUCCCGUGUGCUCUCACUGACCUUCCCCCAAAGCCGCAAGCACAUUGAGUCAGUUGUGCAGGUUGUCAUCUACUGUCUCGUGGCCGUGGACUGACCCUGAGAGUGAGAUUUAUUGCCUGGUAUUAGAAAAGCUUUAGAUUCCAGCUCCUCUCAAAGGAGUUGUGCAAAGAAGGGACUAAAG
This is a long non-coding RNA of Equus asinus (donkey), 3860 nucleotides long. NCBI's taxonomy places the organism in Eukaryota, Metazoa, Chordata, Mammalia, Perissodactyla, Equidae. The record is from Ensembl.